AUUCCCUCAACUCCAAUUCCUAGAUAUGUAUAUGUGUGAUGCGGAGGAGUUACAAGUGGAAGAAGGAGGAAUGCCUUUGUUGAAGGGAUUGGUAGUUACUGGCUCUGUUAAGAUCCCAGAGAGACUAAAAUCCUUCCCUGCGAUUCCUUGGCAUGGUAUUGGUGAUUGGGCUUACUAAAGUAAUCGUAGUAUCCAGUGAAAAGAAGCUUUUAUUGUGUUUCAGUUGAUAAGCUAAUGAAGCCUACAUAUGGUGCAGUAGUGAAAGGCAUUGUGUGGAUUUUCUUUCUCUUUUUCUUCUUUUUCUAC
Molecule: long non-coding RNA, 306 nt
Filed under: Actinidia chinensis (golden kiwifruit)
Lineage: Eukaryota; Viridiplantae; Streptophyta; Magnoliopsida; Ericales; Actinidiaceae
Description: long non-coding RNA (ACHI_LNC000558)
Source: RNAcentral